This 800-nucleotide ribosomal RNA is filed under the name uncultured bacterium. Its description in RNAcentral is "bacterial SSU rRNA". It matches the Rfam family "Bacterial small subunit ribosomal RNA", at positions 43 to 836 of the family's 1533-position model. The record is from RNAcentral.
CAGGCCUAACACAUGCAAGUCGAGGGGCAGCACAUAUAAGCUUGCUUAUAGGGUGGCGACCGGCGCACGGGUGCGUAACGCGUAUACAAUCUACCUUAUGCUGAGGGAUAGCCCAGAGAAAUUUGGAUUAACCCCUCAUGGUAUUAGAGGAUGGCAUCAUUUUUUAAUUAAAGGUUACGGCAUAAGAUGAGUAUGCGUCCCAUUAGCUAGUUGGUAGGGUAACGGCUUACCAAGGCUACGAUGGGUAGGGGUCCUGAGAGGGAGAUCCCCCACACUGGUACUGAGACACGGACCAGACUCCUACGGGAGGCAGCAGUGAGGAAUAUUGGACAAUGGGCGGAAGCCUGAUCCAGUCAUGCCGCGUGCAGGAAGACGGCCCUAUGGGUUGUAAACUGCUUUUAAACGGGAAGAAUAAGACCUACGUGUAGGUUGAUGACGGUACCGUAAGAAUAAGGACCGGCUAACUCCGUGCCAGCAGCCGCGGUAAUACGGAGGGUCCGAGCGUUAUUCGGAAUUAUUGGGUUUAAAGGGUCCGUAGGCGGGCUAUUAAGUCAGGGGUGAAAGUUUGCAGCUCAACUGUAAAAUUGCCUUUGAUACUGGUAGUCUUGAGUUGUAUUGAAGUGGCUGGAAUAUGUAGUGUAGCGGUGAAAUGCAUAGAUAUUACAUAGAACACCGACUGCGAAGGCAGGUCACUAAGUACACACUGACGCUGAUGGACGAAAGCGUGGGGAGCGAACAGGAUUAGAUACCCUGGUAGUCCACGCCGUAAACGAUGGAUACUAGCUGUCCGGGACCUUGAG